This 301-nucleotide ribosomal RNA is filed under the name uncultured bacterium. RNAcentral describes it as "partial 16S ribosomal RNA". It matches the Rfam family "Bacterial small subunit ribosomal RNA", at positions 509 to 807 of the family's 1533-position model. The record is from RNAcentral.
CAGCCGCCGCGGGAAUACGAGGGGGGCAAGCGUUGUUCGGAAUUAUUGGGCGUAAAGGGUGCGUAGGCGGUUUGGCAAGUUUGGUGUGAAAUCUUCGGGCUCAACUCGAAGUCUGCAUCGAAAACUGCCGGGCUUGAGUAUGGGAGAGGUGAGUGGAAUUUCCGGUGUAGCGGUGAAAUGCGUAGAUGUCGGAAGGAACACCUGUGGCGAAAGCGGCUCACUGGACCAUAACUGACGCUGAUGCACGAAAGCUAGGGGAGCAAACAGGAUUAGAUACCCCAGUAGUCCCUGUCUCUUAUAC